UAUAUGUGAAGUGGGCGGUUGUAAAGUUAGCUUUCUCUUCAUUUAGCUGUCACUGGACAGAAAAAUAUGAGCUGUGGGCAGAUGCCCCUGGAUGAGAGCCAGUAGCCAGUCUCUGGCCUCCCUGUGCCCUCCCCUAGGAGCCCCCCACCCCGCCAUGGGUCCCCUCCUGGCCUCUGCCAGCCUCUGCCAGCCUCUCCCACUCUUGCUUCAUUGACCUCUGGCUCACCUUUAUUUUUUCUCCUGUCUCUUCCCACUUCUGGUUUCUUUGUUUGGGUUUAUCACAGAUCCUUUCCUCUUCCCUCCUUUCAUCUUUCUAAGCCCUCUCAAGAGAGAAGAAUCAUAUUUUUCCUCAACCAUCGCUCUAUCUCUGGCACCCAGCACAUUGCCAGGCUGAGUUGGCACUCAAAAAUGUUUGUAGGACAAACUACUCUCUCUGUACAUCUUUCUGACUUGGUGGGGAAGAAGGUCCAAAACUUUGCUGAUCACUCCUUGGAUGAAGAAACUUCUCAUACAGUGGUGUGAGUCCUGGAGCCAGAAUGGUUGGCUUGAGCCCCAAUUUCAUUACUGCCUGGCCAGGUGAAGGAGAUUCUCUUCAACAGUGGCAGCCAAGGAUGUCUCUCCUUCAUACCCUGACUCUCCUCUGCUGGGUCCCCUCCCGGAUACAGGGCUCACACCUGUGGACCUCAGAGCCAGCGUCAAGACCGAGAGGAAAGAAAUCACCAAAAGCCAGACCCUUGUGUAGAGGGAAGGGGAAGGAAGGGAGGGAAGACAGACUCCUCUGGGGAUACAUGCGACUAUCUUGGCUGGGAAAUCUGAUCUGGUGGGGGACUCACCCCCUCCUCUGGAAUCAGCUCAGCCCUGAUGUGUCUUUGUGGGCUUGGGUUUCUCUGUGCCUGAAAGAUGAGGCGUGGGGUGGGGGUGGCUGGGCUGUUGGUUGAGGCUGAAUUCUUCUGAGCAAUGUGGUUGUGUUUACUGGGAGGGUGGGAGGGCCAGACCUUUUUCCUGCCUUCCAGGCUUCGGAGAUAAGGCAGAAAGUGAGGAUGAAGGAUAGAAUGGGUAAUAUUCUGAAACCACAAGAAAGAGUUCUGGCUUUUAUCUCUGCCCCACAGCUCAGAGAUGUUCCUGGGGCAUCUGGAAGGAAGCCACCCCACUCCCACCACCCUGGGGUCCCAGCCCAUGGGGAGCGCAGAACCUCAGUAGGUACCCCUUUCUUCCAUUCUACCUCCCGUCCAUUGUCAGUUUAGCCACAAAGUUAUUUUAGCUUUUUUACUGCUCUUCCCACCCUCAGUUUUCCCUGCCACAUGAGCCCAGCCCUAGAGCUGAGCUUUUCUCCCUGCCUCCCAGCACAGCCAAAGCCACAGAGACCCUAGGCAGGUGACAGAGCCCAGCCUGGCAUGCAUCGGCCUUGAGGGCUCUGCUGCAAGACCACCUUCCCCUUCCUCGCUGGCCCCUCAGGGGUCGUGGCCAGCCUGCAUCCUGGACACAGACCAGCCCCAAAGCAACCAGUGCCAAGCCCUGGGGAUAGACAGUCACCUGGUAUAAAAAACACCACCACCUGGGCAGCUUUUUUUUUUUUUCUCUCCCUCCAUUUUUUUUUUUUUUUUUUAAAAACAAAAGUGUCUGUACAAAAAUGGGGAUCAGGAUCUCAGUCUGUGGAAAUCUGUUUUAUUCUGACCAACAUCCAAUAUCAUUUCCAUGGCAUAGCUCUGGGCUGGUCCCAUGGAAGAGAUUCCAAAUAUGUAGUGAUUUUUGGUGGAAUUUCUGCCCCCUUGGAGGGGAAGAUGACUGCAUGGCAUGCUGGGAGUGCAGGCACAGGGCAGGAUUGAGGGUGGCUGGAGCUGAGGAGCCAGUGUGUGCCUUCGUCUAUGCUGACCUUGGCCUUUACACCCUCCUUAGUGUCAGACACCAGCGCGCCCCCUGCUGGUGGGGAGGGGAAGCAGGGCUGACUCCACCCCAUCAUGGGAGACUCCCUUUUGGCUUCUGUCUCAUCAUGGAGAGCUUCAGUCCACUCGGCGUUCUCCUCCUCCCAUUUUCCUGGGUUCCCUGAACGAUGAGCCAAGUAAGCUGUCUUAGCUGGAGAGAUGACAAUGGACUUGGACAAAGUCUGGAGGAAGCAGGGCAGUGUCUCCCUGCCUUCAGCCCAGAGUUUAGGUGAGGGGACUCAGUUUGUGGUAGGAAGAGUCCUGGCUGCUUUGAAGCCCAUUCUCCUAGGCAGCCCCACCUUAUUCUAAGAGAAAAUACCCUGUAAAGUGUUCCCUGCUGGGGAAUGACAGUGCCAGCUGCUCUUCCAGGCCUCCAGAACCAUCUGGGGCUUGGAGGCAGAGGUGCUUCCUCCCUGGUGUCCAGGCAGGGAUGGGCUAGGAGCGGCUGGGAAUGGAAAAGGAGGUGGGCCGCUCAUUUUGCAGGUCCAUAUGACUGAUCACGUGGUCCAGUUCAGAAGGCCGGGUGGCUCCUUGGGCUUUACCCUGAGCGAGACGAGGCUUGGAGACUUAUAGUCACCAUCUGAGGAGGGCUCAAAGCUGUGGCCCCCCAGGGUGGGGGGAAAGCCAUGGAUGGAGUAGAUGCCAGGGUGAGCCACAGAGGGGGCUGGCACCCCCAUGAAGCCAGCCACACUCCCAUGGGAGUGGGAAUAUGGAGACAUGCAUGGGGAGGGUAUGCCCUCUGGAGACACAAGGCAGGGGCCCCCAGGGCUCCCGGAUCCUGGACUGGCCCACAGGGAGUUCUGCAGCUGAAAAGAGAGAGGAAAGAAGGUCCAUGAGCCGGUAGCUUCAGGAGCUGACUUCCCUACCCAGGGGCUUUCUCUUUGUCCUUGGGGCCCCAGAAACUUUCCAGGAAACCUCCACUUGGCUCAGAUCUACCCCCUCCCACCCCCAACACUGGCAGUGGCAUCUCAGGAGGCUCCUGCCACUGUUCUCAAAACGAAAUUUUCUUCUGUGAUUCCUUUGUGUUCCGCAUGCGUCAUUCAUGAGACAGGCAAGAGCCCCGGUUUGCAGAGGAAGAAGUGAAGUGGUGUACCCACUAUCACACAGAACGCUGACGCUCUCCAGGUCUCUUCAGACCAGACCUCAUAUUCUUUUUGGUGACCCUGCCACGUCCUGGCUCAGGUAGGGCUGGGGUCUUACCUGAGGGUGGCUGUCAGUGCGGGGCAGCACAGAGAUGUCAUAGGCAGCCGUGAAGGGAUUCCGCCCCUCCUGGAUCUUCCCAUAACGCUCACGCUUCCGCCACUUGGCUCUGCGGUUCUGGAACCAGACCUAGGGGCAGGUUGUGGGGGUUUGAGGGGGUGAUAGGGCAGCCCUGAGGAGAUAGGGCAGCCUGCUAGGGAGAGUUGAUGGUUGUGUCCUCUCGUGGGAGGGGGAGCAGGCUCCAGGACGGAGGAUUUCAACUGUUAAUCCACACUGUUCUCCAGGCCAGGGAAGCCUGGGAGGAAGCCUGGGAGAGGCCCAAGCCCAAAGUGGGUUAAUUGGCCCCAUGGGCCUCCAGCUGUCACUCCCCAGGUUGAAUCACUGUGGUCCUCCAGCUUGGCUGUGUCUACUAAGGGUGUUGUGGGGGCAUCUGUGGGCCUCAGGGGCCCUAGGUACUUCCUAGGUAUACUGUGCACAUGUGUUGGGUUUCUAGUCUCCCCGCCUCAUCUCCUUUUCCAAGCUACCCACCUCAUAGCAUCCGAGGAAUCUUAGACAUUUCUGUUCAGGUCAUGGUCCUGUUUAAACCCUCAGUGACUCCCUGGAGACCUUGGUCCAGAGCAUAGCUUCUUAACAAGGCCCCUGCCUCUCUGCACAGCCUCAUAUCCUGCCAGGCAAACACAUUUGAUUCUUCCUGGUUGCCUCCCAAGCUCCCGCCCAGCUCUUCUGAAAUACUGCUAUCUUGCUCCUUCCAUCUUUUGCUUAGGUUUUCUCUUCCUGGGCUCCUCAUCCCCUCAACACAUACAUCCAUGAUGGGCAUCCUCCACAGGACUUCCAAAAUACCCUGGACCUCUCUUUGUACUCACCCCAUUCCAUUACCAUGAUCUGUUUUUGGAAUCUGUUUCUCCCAUUCAUUUGUGAGCCCUUGGCAGAUAGGGGUGGCACAUCUGUGCGUUGUGCACAUCUGUAUACAUAUCUGUGAUGAAUUUGUUGUUUGGUAUAUGUGCUGUGACUGUUACAUUUAACUGUAUUGGUAUAUAUGUUUUGUAUUUCUAUCAUUUAGUCAACAUUUAUGUGUCAGCCUCUAAGCUAAAUUUAACAAUGUCAAAAUAAAACCAACCAAACAAAACAA
RNAcentral lists this non-coding RNA (4251 nucleotides) under Pongo abelii (Sumatran orangutan). The record is from RNAcentral. Lineage: Eukaryota; Metazoa; Chordata; Mammalia; Primates; Hominidae.